UGAAGGGUAGCUCAGUUGGUAGAGCAUGAGACUCUUGAACUUGGGGUCAUGGGUUCGAGUCUGGCAUCAGGUUAA
Molecule: non-coding RNA, 75 nt
Organism: Podarcis lilfordi (Lilford's wall lizard)
Lineage: Eukaryota; Metazoa; Chordata; Lepidosauria; Squamata; Lacertidae
Source: the annotation of a GenBank genome assembly